CCCUGGUGGCUUGGAUGGAAAAGAAUCUGCCUGUCAUGCAGAAGACCCAGGUUCAAUCCCUGGAUCAAGAU
Molecule: transfer RNA, 71 nt
Filed under: Capra hircus (goat)
Lineage: Eukaryota; Metazoa; Chordata; Mammalia; Artiodactyla; Bovidae
Also listed under: 1 other name
Rfam family: tRNA
About the family: Transfer RNA (tRNA) molecules are approximately 80 nucleotides in length. Their secondary structure includes four short double-helical elements and three loops (D, anti-codon, and T loops). Further hydrogen bonds mediate the characteristic L-shaped molecular structure. tRNAs have two regions of fundamental functional importance: the anti-codon, which is responsible for specific mRNA codon recognition, and the 3' end, to which the tRNAs corresponding amino acid is attached (by aminoacyl-tRNA synthetases). tRNAs cope with the degeneracy of the genetic code in two manners: having more than one tRNA (with a specific anti-codon) for a particular amino acid; and 'wobble' base-pairing, i.e. permitting non-standard base-pairing at the 3rd anti-codon position.
Source: Rfam by way of RNAcentral